This 633-nucleotide long non-coding RNA is filed under the name Pan troglodytes (chimpanzee). RNAcentral describes it as "long non-coding RNA NONPTRT002398". The record is from RNAcentral. Lineage: Eukaryota; Metazoa; Chordata; Mammalia; Primates; Hominidae.
UGGUUUCAUUUUCUCCUCUACACCAGGAGAAGUCUGCUGAGCCAUGGUCUGGAAGAUGUCAACCAGAGGACUCCUGGGCUGUUCUAGGGAGUUGGGCUGUUGUCCUGAGGGCAAUGGAGAGCCACUGACCCAUUUGACGGAAGAGAAUGACCAGAGCAGAUUUGCACCUGUGGAAGAUCUCCCUGGCACAGUGGGGAGCACGGGCUAGAGGGGACAAGGCCAGGGGAUAAACCAGGGGUUGGCAUGAAGGUAAUAAAUUGAGAGAGGGCACUGGGCUGGAUCAGAGUAGCAGUGGCAGGGCUGGAGAAACGUGGAGAGACCAGAGAGAGACUUAGUACCUGGAAGUGACAGCAGUGGUGGUUGUGGACUGAAUGCAGGGGGUGAGUUGAGGAAGGGCUCAGGGGCGACUGCCUGGUCCUGGCUCAGAGAAGCCCCGCAGGACACAGGAAGGAGGGAGUCUUGGGCGGGUGUUGUGGUGGAGAGAUGGCUCUGGGUGGGAACAUCCUGUCUGAGGCUCCUGGUCAAGGGGAGAUGUCCAGAGGCAGCUAGGCCUGGGGCUUCGGGGAGAGAACUGAUUUAGAAUCCAGCAGCCUGCAGAUGUGAACUUCAGCCUGGGGUGUGAGUGGAGAGAAG